Haemonchus contortus (barber pole worm) is the source of this 73-nucleotide non-coding RNA. Lineage: Eukaryota; Metazoa; Nematoda; Chromadorea; Rhabditida; Trichostrongylidae. The record is from Rfam.
GUCUCGGUAGUGUAAGGGGUAAGAACACGGUCCCCCGGAGAGAGAAGUACGGGUUCGAGUCCCGUCCGAGACU